RNA transcript from Nematostella vectensis (starlet sea anemone), 4780 nucleotides. It is a transcript of the gene named telomeric repeat-binding factor 2-interacting protein 1, with no coding region annotated. The record is from RefSeq and is a predicted model, not a curated record. The transcript has 9 exons. Lineage: Eukaryota; Metazoa; Cnidaria; Anthozoa; Actiniaria; Edwardsiidae.
CCAGCAUGCUUUGUGUUUCAAAAAAUGGCGGCGAGCCUAAGCGACAUCCAGAACGAAGAGUUUGAAAAUAGCUGCUUGUUUUUGAACGAUGAAGAUGGAUCACCGAUCCUAUUCUACAUCACUCCUGGCCCUCUCAAAAAACGCCUCAAAACUUUGAUCGAGGUUCGUGGAGGCAUAGUAAGCAGCAAAAUAACUCCUGGAGUUGACACAAUAUUGCUUCAAGAGUCUUCAAAGGAUAAGCCGUUGCUUGAUGGAUAUACAUCUUCUGAGUAUAUUAAUGACUGUAUCCACAAGAAUGAAUUGCUGAACAUCAAACCAUACCAGGCCAGAGCAACUGAAAAAGCAGGGAAAAGUAAACUAGGUGCUGUUUCGUCAUCAAAUUCUACAAACAUAGUAAAAUCAACGACUGGUGGGAGAGCAAAAUACACGUAUGAGGAGGACCAAGCCAUCUUGGACUAUGUGAAGCAGUAUGCCUGCCCUGGCAUCCCUGUUGGGGGCAAUGUUCUCUGGAAACAAAUGGAGAGAGAAAAGGUGACAGGUCACUCAUGGCAAUCAAUGCAAUGCCGGUACAGGAAGAUCCUCAGGCCAGUAGUCAGCAGGGUGAAGAAACCAAAGCGCCUUGACCUGUUUGUGACCAAGGCAAAGAAACCAGCCCUUUCUUCUUCGACUCGUCCAAAGCGUCUGUCCGCUCGGGUGUGUGCCACGCAGGUAAAAUCGUACUUGGUCUCUAGUGAAAACUCUAGUGAUGUUGAUUCGGGCAGUGAACCUCAAGUGAAGAAAGAAGUCGGAAAGCGUACCAACACCAUCGCUAAUUCUACUGAUGAUGAGAAAAUGAUUAGACAGACUCCACGAAAGAACAGACCUCGAUUUUUUGACACAACAGAACAUUCGAAGUCAGAUAGUGACUGCUAUAGCAGUGGUAAUGACAGUUACAAUGAUGGAGGACACACUAACCACACUUCAUCUGCUCAAAAGAGGAAAAUUAUGCAGCAAACCAAAUAUCGCAAGGGGCUCGGCGAUGCAUCUCCUAAUAAAAAGAAGCAGGCCUCCGUGGAAAGGGAUGAUGAUGCUGAUCAAGGUGCAGCCCCUGACGCUGCCGCUGUGGAUGAUGAAGAUGACAGUCUUGAAGAUGAUGGCGAUGAAGGCGGAGCUAAUGUUGAUCAUAAUGAAGUGAUUAACUUGAAGGAUGAAACUGAAUUUGCCGACACGAUUAACAUGAUCUUCAAUAAGCUUCAGCAAAUAGAGGAUCUUCGGCGUAAGCACAACGUUUCAAGAGUAGAGGUGGUCAACGCCCUUCGUAAAGCAAGUGGAUCAGUGAGUGAGGCCAGUCAUGCUUUACAGUCAUGUAAAGGAGCGAGUGAUCCUGAAGAAGUUCUCCAGUCGAGUGAAGAAAAAGCGGGUAAGACCAACGAAGCUUCCCACCCAUCCAAGAGAAUGAUUAAGACCAACGAGGCUUUACAGUCACCAAUAAAAAGUAAAAGAGACGAAGUAAGUAGUAAAGUGAGUACUAUCGAGGCCACGCAAGCACCCUGUGGAGGCGGUCAGUCCAACAAAGCUUUACGGUCACGUGAAAAGGCGGGUAAAGACAAGGAAGCUACACAAUCGGCAAAAAUAAGUGAAAGCUCUAACAAAGCUAUCAAGUCGCCUUGGAAAGGAAGAAAUGAUAACGAAGAUAUCCACUCACCUUGCAAAGGAAAAAUUGUCAGCGAAGAUGUUAAGUCGCCCAGAAAAGGAAGAAAUGUUAUCAAAGCUUUCCAGUCACCAAAGAAAGGAAGUAAAUCAAGCGAAGAGAGUGAUAACCACGAAGCCACUAACUCACCCAAGAGAAAGAGUAAGACUAACGUAGCUAUACUGUCACCUAAGAAAAGCGGUUCGACAAGCCACGCCUUGAGGCCAAGCAAGAGGGUACGUGAGCCAUACGAGGCUCCACAGUUACGUAAAAGAAGACACGGAAACAAGACGGUGAUAGGUUAGCAGACAUAAUAUAAUAAUUUUAUAAUAUUAUAAGUUUAUAUUUUUAUAAAGACCCUUUUGUUGUACUACUGACAUUCCAGCACGCUGGAAGACCAGGCUAAAGACACUAGGUUUAGCCACGCCCUUGUAAACAGCUCCAGCAUUGCUGACCAAAACAGUCAACAUUUCUUACUCAGUUAUGAGCCUGCAAUGAUGGCUUGUGCUUUUCGCACUAGGCGACAAGCAUUAAACUUUACUCAUAUAUUUUAAUUGUGAAUAUUUUUAUGAAACACCGGCCGAUCCAUUCAGGAUCUUCGUGUUUUGAAUGUUUUGGUGAACAAGCGAUACACACUAUUUGUUAUUGAUGCCAUAAAAAAUAUUGUAGGGACCACAUACUUAGUGUUCUAACAGUGUUCUAAUACUAGACUGUAAUGAAAUAAGAGUUUUUCCAAGUAUUUUUCUAAAUUGUACACUGGGUACCAGAGGCUCGAACUCCAAGCUUCACUCACGCACUCUCAAAGAGCCGCGCAUCGUUCCCCGUAGCCAAGAGCCAAGACCGGCGUGACAGUAAACGAGUGAAGCUCGAGCCUCUAAAACAAGUAUCAAUUUCAGCAUUAGACUACAUCUUCUUAAUAUUGGCCAGCGUAAUAAGCGAAUAAGAGACUGGGAAAAGGGGACGAGAUCAAGCACGUGCCUGGGUGUGGUCUUCGUGUCCGUGGCCCUUAAAUUAUGCUGUCUACAUCGGCCACAGCUCUAGAAAAGAAUAACACUGCUAGAUAUAUUUGGGGCCUGAUGCCUAAAACGCUGUCUACAUCGGCCACACCUCUAGAAAAGAAUAACACUGCUAGGUAUAUUUGGGGCCUGAUGCCUAAAACGCUGUCUACAUCGGCCACAGCUCUAGAAAAGAAUAACACUGCUAGAUAUAUUUGGGGCCUGAUGCCUCAAACGCUGUCUACAUCGGCCACAGCUCUAGAAAAGAAUAACACUGCUAGAUAUAUUUGGGGCCUGAUGCCUAAAACGCUGUCUACAUCGGCCACAGCUCUAGAAAAGAAUAACACUGCUAGAUAUAUUUGGGGCCUGAUGCCUAAAACGCUGUCUACAUCGGCCACACCUCUAGAAAAGAAUAACACUGCUAGGUAUAUUUGGGGCCUGAUGCCUAAAACGCUGUCUACAUCGGCCACAGCUCUAGAAAAGAAUAACACUGCUAGAUAUAUUUGGGGCCUGAUGCCUCAAACGCUGUCUACAUCGGCCACAGCUCUAGAAAAGAAUAACACUGCUAGGUAUAUUUGGGGCCUGAUGCCUAAAACGCUGUCUACAUCGGCCACAGCUCUAGAAAAGAAUAACACUGCUAGAUAUAUUUGGGGCCUGAUGCCUAAAACGCUGUCUACAUCGGCCACAGCUCUAGAAAAGAAUAACACUGCUAGGUAUAUUUGGGGCCUGAUGCCUAAAACGCUGUCUACAUCGGCCACAGCUCUAGAAAAGAAUAACACUGCUAGAUGUAUUUGGGGCCUGAUGCCUAAAACGCUGUCUACAUCGGCCACAGCUCUAGAAAAGAAUAACACUGCUAGGUAUAUUUGGGGCCUGAUGCCUAAAACGCUGUCUACAUCGGCCACAGCUCUAGAAAAGAAUAACACUGCUAGAUAUAUUUGGGGCCUGAUGCCUAAAACGCUGUCUACAUCGGCCACAGCUCUAGAAAAGAAUAACACUGCUAGGUAUAUUUGGGGCCUGAUGCCUAAAACGCUGUCUACAUCGGCCACAGCUCUAGAAAAGAAUAACACUGCUAGAUAUAUUUGGGGCCUGAUGCCUAAAACGCUGUCUACAUCGGCCACAGCUCUAGAAAAGAAUAACACUGCUAGAUAUAUUUGGGGCCUGAUGCCUAAAACGCUGUCUACAUCGGCCACAGCUCUAGAAAAGAAUAACACUGCUAGGUAUAUUUGGGGCCUGAUGCCUAAAACGCUGUCUACAUCGGCCACAGCUCUAGAAAAGAAUAACACUGCUAGAUAUAUUUGGGGCCUGAUGCCUAAAACGCUGUCUACAUCGGCCACAGCUCUAGAAAAGAAUAACACUGCUAGAUAUAUUUGGGGCCUGAUGCCUAAAACGCUGUCUACAUCGGCCACAGCUCUAGAAAAGAAUAACACUGCUAGAUGUAUUUGGGGCCUGAUGCCUAAAACGCUGUCUACAUCGGCCACAGCUCUAGAAAAGAAUAACACUGCUAGAUAUAUUUGGGGCCUGAUGCCUAAAACGCUGUCUACAUCGGCCACAGCUCUAGAAAAGAAUAACACUGCUAGGUAUAUUUGGGGCCUGAUGCCUAAAACGCUGUCUACAUCGGCCACAGCUCUAGAAAAGAAUAACACUGCUAGAUAUAUUUGGGGCCUGAUGCCUAAAACGCUGUCUACAUCGGCCACAGCUCUAGAAAAGAAUAACACUGCUAGAUAUAUUUGGGGCCUGAUGCCUCAAACGCUGUCUACAUCGGCCACAGCUCUAGAAAAGAAUAACACUGCUAGAUGUAUUUGGGGCCUGAUGCCUCUAACGCUGUCUACAUCGGCCACAGCUCUAGAAAAGAAUAACACUGCUAGGUAUAUUUGGGGCCUGAUGCCUAAAACGCUGGGGAUGAUGACGAGGAUGCUGCCUGAUCCCAUCCUUAACAGGUGCCAGCUUUUCUUUCCGAAGUCAGUUGGUUUUUGUGUUACCCAUAAUUUAAAAUACAAGAAAGUAUUAGGCAUUCUUGAACUUCAGUAGAACACUUGUUUAAGAAAUUUACAACUUGAUAUUGUAAAAAAACUCUAAUCAAACACAUAAAAUAAACUAAUCAGAGCGCUUAGAAAAA